UCCGGUGGCGAUAGCGUAGAGGCCACACCCGUUCCCAUCCCGAACACGGAAGUUAAGCUCUACAGCGCCGAUGGUACUGCAAGGUUUCCUUUGUGGGAGAGUAGGUCGCCGCCGGAU
RNAcentral lists this ribosomal RNA (117 nucleotides) under Desulfarculus baarsii. The record is from RNAcentral. Lineage: Bacteria; Pseudomonadati; Thermodesulfobacteriota; Desulfarculia; Desulfarculales; Desulfarculaceae. RNAcentral also lists the same sequence under 1 other name.